Molecule: unclassified non-coding RNA, 190 nt
Filed under: Dioszegia hungarica
Lineage: Eukaryota; Fungi; Basidiomycota; Tremellomycetes; Tremellales; Bulleribasidiaceae
Description: partial internal transcribed spacer region
Rfam family: Eukaryotic small subunit ribosomal RNA (bases 1-46)
Source: RNAcentral
AAGUCGUAACAAGGUCUCCGUUGGUGAACCAGCGGAAGGAUCAUUAAUAAAUGGCGAAGCUUUCGAGCCUAGCUUUUAUCAUCCUAUACACCUGUGAACUAUUUGCCUUCGGGCACCAAACAAACAUAAUGUAAUGAAUGUAAUCUACUAUAAUAAAUACAACUUUCAACAACGGAUCUCUUGGCUCUCA